UACGUAGGGAGCAAGCGUUGUCCGGAUUUAUUGGGCGUAAAGCGCUCGUAGGCGGCUUAGAAAGUCAGGUGUGAAACCUCCAGGCUCAACCUGGAGACGCCACUUGAUACUUCUAUGGCUUGAGUUCGGUAGGGGUAAGCGGAAUUCCUGGUGUAGCGGUGAAAUGCGCAGAUAUCAGGAGGAACACCGAUGGCGAAGGCAGCUUACUGGGCCGAAACUGACGCUGAGGAGCGAAAGCGUGGGGAGCGAACAGG
RNAcentral lists this ribosomal RNA (254 nucleotides) under uncultured bacterium. Its description in RNAcentral is "partial 16S ribosomal RNA". It matches the Rfam family "Bacterial small subunit ribosomal RNA", at positions 524 to 776 of the family's 1533-position model. The record is from RNAcentral.